RNAcentral lists this ribosomal RNA (253 nucleotides) under uncultured bacterium. RNAcentral describes it as "partial 16S ribosomal RNA". It matches the Rfam family "Bacterial small subunit ribosomal RNA", at positions 524 to 776 of the family's 1533-position model. The record is from RNAcentral.
UACGGAGGGAGCUAGCGUUUUUCGGUAUUACUGGGCGUAAAGCGCACGUAGGCGGCUUUGUAAGUUAGAGGUGAAAGCCUGGAGCUCAACUCCAGAACUGCCUUUAAGACUGCAUCGCUUGAAUCCAGGAGAGGUGAGUGGAAUUCCGAGUGUAGAGGUGAAAUUCGUAGAUAUUCGGAAGAACACAAGUGGCGAACGCGGCUCACUGGACUGGUAUUGACGCUGAGGUGCGAAAGCGUGGGGAGCAAACAGG